RNAcentral lists this long non-coding RNA (202 nucleotides) under Phoenix dactylifera (date palm). RNAcentral's name for it is "long non-coding RNA (PDAC_LNC009178)". Lineage: Eukaryota; Viridiplantae; Streptophyta; Magnoliopsida; Arecales; Arecaceae. The record is from RNAcentral.
CUUUUAUUUCUUCCUCGAGCUCCCAAGUGGCCUCUCUUUCUGAGUGAUUGCUCCAUUGCACCUUUACAUAAGGAAUGGUCCGACGUCGCAACACUUGAUCCUUUCUAUCCACAAUCCGUACCGGAUACUCUUCAUGAGUCAGAUCCUCAUGCAGACUUAUAGGCUCAAAAUCUACCACAUGGUUCGGGUCCGGAAUAUAUUU